This is a long non-coding RNA of Juglans microcarpa x Juglans regia, 285 nucleotides long. RefSeq lists it as uncharacterized. The record is from RefSeq and is a predicted model, not a curated record. The transcript has 3 exons. Lineage: Eukaryota; Viridiplantae; Streptophyta; Magnoliopsida; Fagales; Juglandaceae.
AUAUCCCCUUCAUGGUUCCUUCGAACCACUGAUACCACUGAGAAAUUAUUUCUGACCGUUGUGUCAAAGGAGAAACUAUGAAAAUUUGGAGGAGGCUUCCAAAAUGACCAGCCCUUCCUUCAGCACCAACACUUGGGAAGUCAUAUAACACUGGCAGCCUCCAAAACCGUCUGCUUCAAACAAUCAACAUUACAGAAUCCAACUGAUCUCACCAUGUCUCCCAAGCUGCCAUGAUCAUGAUUAGUUGGUUUCAACAGUCAGUCACAUUGGUUUAAUCAAACAAGU